RNAcentral lists this ribosomal RNA (432 nucleotides) under uncultured bacterium. Its description in RNAcentral is "partial 16S ribosomal RNA". It matches the Rfam family "Bacterial small subunit ribosomal RNA", at positions 29 to 506 of the family's 1533-position model. The record is from RNAcentral.
AACGAACGCUGGCGGCAUGCCUAACACAUGCAAGUCGAACGAGACCUUCGGGUCUAGUGGCGCACGGGUGCGUAACGCGUGGGAACCUGCCCUUAGGUUCGGAAUAACUCCCCGAAAGGGGUGCUAAUACCGGAUAAUGUCUUCGGACCAAAGAUUUAUCGCCUUUGGAUGGGCCCGCGUUGGAUUAGCUAGUUGGUAGGGUAAAAGCCUACCAAGGCGACGAUCCAUAGCUGGUCUGAGAGGAUGAUCAGCCACACUGGGACUGAGACAGGGCCCAGACCCCGAGGGGGGGCAGCAGGGGGGAAAUUUGGAAAUGGGGCGAAAGCCUGAUCCAGCAGUGCCCGGUAAGUGAUGAAGGCUUUGGGGUUGUAAAGCUCUUUUACCCGGGAUGAAAAGGACAGUACCGGGAAAAAAAGCCCCGGCAACCCCCGU